AACGAACGCUGGCGGCGUGCCUAACACAUGCAAGUCGAACGAGACCUUCGGGUCUAGGGGCGCACGGGUGCGUAACGCGUGGGAACCUGCCCUUAGGUUCGGAAUCACUCCCUGAGAGGGGUGCUAAUACCGGAUAAUGUAUUCGGGCCAAAGAUUUAUGGCCUUUGGAUGGGCCCGCGUUGGAUUAGCUAGUUGGUAGGGUAAAAGCCUACCAAGGCGACGAUGCAUAGCUGGUCUGAGACGAGGAUUCGCCACACUGGGACUGAGACACGGCCCAGACUGCGACGGAAGGGAGCAGAGUGGUAUAUUGGACAAGGGGCGCAAGUGUGAUCCAGCCAUGCGGCGUGAGUGAUGAAGCGCUUAGGGUUGUAAAGCUCUCUUACACGAGACGAUAAUGACAGUAACGGGUGAAUAAGCACCGGCUAACUACGUG
This 433-nucleotide ribosomal RNA is filed under the name uncultured bacterium. RNAcentral describes it as "partial 16S ribosomal RNA". It matches the Rfam family "Bacterial small subunit ribosomal RNA", at positions 29 to 507 of the family's 1533-position model. The record is from RNAcentral.